Molecule: ribosomal RNA, 497 nt
Filed under: uncultured bacterium
Lineage: Bacteria
Description: partial 16S ribosomal RNA
Rfam family: Bacterial small subunit ribosomal RNA
Source: RNAcentral
GACGAACGCUGGCGGCGCGCCUAAUACAUGCAAGUUGAGCGCUGAAGGUUGGUACUUGUACCAACUGGAUGAGCAGCGAACGGGUGAGUAACGCGUGGGGAAUCUGCCUUUGAGCGGGGGACAACAUUUGGAAACGAAUGCUAAUACCGCAUAAAAACUUUAAACACAAGUUUUAAGUUUGAAAGAUGCAAUUGCAUCACUCAAAGAUGAUCCCGCGUUGUAUUAGCUAGUUGGUGAGGUAAAGGCUCACCAAGGCGAUGAUACAUAGCCGACCUGAGAGGGUGAUCGGCCACAUUGGGACUGAGACACGGCCCAAACUCCUACGGGAGGCAGCAGUAGGGAAUCUUCGGCAAUGGACGAAAGUCUGACCGAGCGACGCCGCGUGAGUGAAGAAGGUUUUCGGAUCGUAAAACUCUGUUGGUAGAGAAGAACGUUGGUGAGAGUGGAAAGCUCAUCAAGUGACGGUAACUACCCAGAAAGGGACGGCUAACUACGUG